Bos taurus (domestic cattle) is the source of this 635-nucleotide long non-coding RNA. NCBI's taxonomy places the organism in Eukaryota, Metazoa, Chordata, Mammalia, Artiodactyla, Bovidae. The record is from Ensembl.
GAGAUGCCACAUUCACUGAAUCUCAGAUGCUGUCGAGUUCAAGACUUAUCACUAGGUUAUUAACCCUGAAGAAAAGAAAAAAUCUAAUCAACAGUAAACAGCAUUCACUAAUCUGAAAUUUACACCCCACUGCUGUUCCCUUAUCUUUCUGCAUACACAAAAAAUGUUAAUUUUCAAUACCGAUCUAUGCCACAGUCUUUUCAAAGACAUUUUUUUAAAAGACAGUCAAGCUCAGUACACACGGAGUCCUACAACUGCACACAGCUCAUUCCAAGUAUGCCCAACACGGGCAGACAACUAUGCCACUGCUGCCAUCUGGCUGACAAUGACUGUGAUAAGCAUCCUGAUUUAGAAAUGUUGAAAUAACUGCAUCUGAGCAUCAAAGAAAGCAUCCCCACUUUGUAGACACAGAGACUGGCACAGCCAGAUUUACUGAUUUGCCCCAAAACUUCCCAGAUAGCAAGUGGCUUACCCAGACUUUCAACUGGAGUGGUCCGGCCUCAGAGCUGAGAAACAUUCAACUCUCUGCAUCUUCAGUGAUCUCUCCGUUUCUGCUGGUGGAGACCUCAUUCACAGGUCUCAGUUGUGGUACUCUGGACCUCUGAUCUCUGAUCUCUGUUGUGGCAUGUGCGAUC